UUUUUUAUCUGUAGGUUAUGCAUAAGUGUUAGAUACUAAUGUGUUGUUGUUUUUUUAACAGCCACAGUUCUCCAUACAAUACAAGACCCUGACUGUGAUGUUGGCUGAGUAGAGACUGAUUGAGAUGGUGUACUUCCAGAGUUGGUGGAAUGACCAAGCACACCUUCUUGGUCAUUUGUGGUGAUAAUAAUGAAGCUGAAACAUCUGCUAGUCUCCAGGAAAAGUGGCAUCAAUACUGUACCUGGAAGGGCCUAACAAGUUGAAUCUGCUGGGAGAGUCAAGUUGUGGAUCAUCAUGUAGAU
Molecule: non-coding RNA, 302 nt
Organism: Danio rerio (zebrafish)
Lineage: Eukaryota; Metazoa; Chordata; Actinopteri; Cypriniformes; Danionidae
Source: RefSeq, a predicted model, not a curated record